AAACCAUGAUGAGGACGCUACCUUAAUAAGCUUUUGAAUCUCUUCCAUGCCUCAACUAGUGAUUCUCCAUCUACCUGAGCAAAACUUGUAAUGCAAUUCCUCAUAU
This is a small nucleolar RNA of Zingiber officinale, 106 nucleotides long. Lineage: Eukaryota; Viridiplantae; Streptophyta; Magnoliopsida; Zingiberales; Zingiberaceae. The record is from RefSeq and is a predicted model, not a curated record.